CGGCGGACGGGUGAGUAACACGUGGAUAACCUACCUAUAAGACUGGGAUAACUUCGGGAAACCGGAGCUAAUACCGGAUAAUAUUUUGAACCGCAUGGUUCAAAAGUGAAAGACGGUCUUGCUGUCAAUUAUAGAUGGAUCCGCGCUGCAUUAGCUAGUUGGUAAGGUAACGGCUUACCAAGGCAACGAUGCAUAGCCGACCUGAGAGGGUGAUCGGCCACACUGGAACUGAGACACGGUCCAG
This 244-nucleotide ribosomal RNA is filed under the name uncultured Staphylococcus sp. Its description in RNAcentral is "partial 16S ribosomal RNA". It matches the Rfam family "Bacterial small subunit ribosomal RNA", at positions 96 to 334 of the family's 1533-position model. Lineage: Bacteria; Bacillati; Bacillota; Bacilli; Caryophanales; Staphylococcaceae. The record is from RNAcentral.